GAUGAACGCUGGCGGCGUGCCUAAUACAUGCAAGUCGAGCGAACGGACGAGAAGCUUGCUUCUCUGAUGUUAGCGGCGGACGGGUGAGUAACACGUGGAUAACCUACCUAUCAGACUGGGAUAACUUCGGGAAACCGGAGCUAAUACCGGAUAAUAUUUUGAACCGCAUGGUUCAAAAGUGAAAUACGCUCUUGCUGUCACUUAUAGAUGGAUCCGCGCUGCAUUAGCUAGUUGGUAAGGUAACGGCUUACCAAGGCAACGAUGCAUAGCCGACCUGAGAGAGUGAUCGGCCAGCCUGGAACUGAGACACGGUCCCGACUCCUACAGGAAGCCGCAGUAGGGAAUCUUACGCAAUGGGCGAGAGCCUGACGGAGCAACGCCGCGUGAGUGAUGAAGGUCUUCUGAUCGUAAAACUCUGUUAUUAGGGAAGAACACAUGUGUAAGUAACUGUGCAGAUAGUGACAGUACCUAAUCAGAAAGCCACGGCUAACUACGUG
This 497-nucleotide ribosomal RNA is filed under the name uncultured bacterium. RNAcentral describes it as "partial 16S ribosomal RNA". It matches the Rfam family "Bacterial small subunit ribosomal RNA", at positions 28 to 507 of the family's 1533-position model. The record is from RNAcentral.